CGAACGCUGGCGGCGUGCCUAAUACAUGCAAGUAGAACGCUGAAGGAGGAGCUUGCUUCUCUGGAUGAGUUGCGAACGGGUGAGUAACGCGUAGGUAACCUGCCUGGUAGCGGGGGAUAACUAUUGGAAACGAUAGCUAAUACCGCAUAAGAGUAGAUGUUGCAUGACAUUUACUUAAAAGGUGCAAUUGCAUCACUACCAGAUGGACCUGCGUUGUAUUAGCUAGUUGGUGAGGUAACGGCUCACCAAGGCAACGAUACAUAGCCGACCUGAGAGGGUGAUCGGCCACACUGGGACUGAGACACGGCCCAGACUCCUACGGGAGGCAGCAGUAGGGAAUCUUCGGCAAUGGACGGAAGUCUGACCGAGCAACGCCGCGUGAGUGAAGAAGGUUUUCGGAUCGUAAAGCUCUGUUGUAAGAGAAGAACGAGUGUGAGAGUGGAAAGUUCACACUGUGACGGUAUCUUACCAGAAAGGGACGGCUAACUACGUG
Molecule: ribosomal RNA, 493 nt
Filed under: uncultured bacterium
Lineage: Bacteria
Description: partial 16S ribosomal RNA
Rfam family: Bacterial small subunit ribosomal RNA
Source: RNAcentral